RNAcentral lists this ribosomal RNA (1449 nucleotides) under Campylobacter jejuni. RNAcentral's name for it is "partial 23S ribosomal RNA". It matches the Rfam family "Bacterial large subunit ribosomal RNA", at positions 1 to 1320 of the family's 2925-position model. The record is from RNAcentral. Lineage: Bacteria; Pseudomonadati; Campylobacterota; Epsilonproteobacteria; Campylobacterales; Campylobacteraceae.
UAAAAAAAGGUAAGCUACUAAGAGCGAAUGGUGGAUGCCUUGACUGGUAAAGGCGAUGAAGGACGUACUAGACUGCGAUAAGCUACGGGGAGCUGUCAAGAAGCUUUGAUCCGUAGAUUUCCGAAUGGGGCAACCCAAUGUAUAGAGAUAUACAUUACCUAUAUAGGAGCGAACGAGGGGAAUUGAAACAUCUUAGUACCCUCAGGAAAAGAAAUCAAUAGAGAUUGCGUCAGUAGCGGCGAGCGAAAGCGCAAGAGGGCAAACCCAGUGCUUGCACUGGGGGUUGUAGGACUGCAAUGUGCAAGAGCUGAGUUUAGCAGAACAUUCUGGAAAGUAUAGCCAUAGAGGGUGAUAGUCCCGUAUGCGAAAAACAAAGCUUAGCUAGCAGUAUCCUGAGUAGGGCGGGACACGAGGAAUCCUGUCUGAAUCCGGGUCGACCACGAUCCAACCCUAAAUACUAAUACCAGAUCGAUAGUGCACAAGUACCGUGAGGGAAAGGUGAAAAGAACUGAGGUGAUCAGAGUGAAAUAGAACCUGAAACCAUUUGCUUACAAUCAUUCAGAGCACUAUGUAGCAAUACAGUGUGAUGGACUGCCUUUUGCAUAAUGAGCCUGCGAGUUGUGGUGUCUGGCAAGGUUAAGCAAACGCGAAGCCGUAGCGAAAGCGAGUCUGAAUAGGGCGCUUAGUCAGAUGCUGCAGACCCGAAACGAAGUGAUCUAUCCAUGAGCAAGUUGAAGCUAGUGUAAGAACUAGUGGAGGACUGAACCCAUAGGCGUUGAAAAGCCCCGGGAUGACUUGUGGAUAGGGGUGAAAGGCCAAUCAAACUUCGUGAUAGCUGGUUCUCUCCGAAAUAUAUUUAGGUAUAGCGUUGUGUCGUAAUAUAAGGGGGUAGAGCACUGAAUGGGCUAGGGCAUACACCAAUGUACCAAACCCUAUCAAACUCCGAAUACCUUAUAUGUAAUCACAGCAGUCAGGCGGCGAGUGAUAAAAUCCGUCGUCAAGAGGGAAACAACCCAGACUACCAGCUAAGGUCCCUAAAUCUUACUUAAGUGGAAAACGAUGUGAAGUUACUUAAACAACCAGGAGGUUGGCUUAGAAGCAGCCAUCCUUUAAAGAAAGCGUAAUAGCUCACUGGUCUAGUGAUUUUGCGCGGAAAAUAUAACGGGGCUAAAGUAAGUACCGAAGCUGUAGACUUGCGCACAACUUAGAUUAUUUAAGUUUAGAAUAUGAGAAACUAAGUUAUGUUUAGUUAUAUUUUUACUGAUUUUUAUAGAGUAAAGAUAGAAAUAAAACUUAGUAAAAUCAGUAAAAAUAUUCUUAGGCUAAAGUUAAGUAGUUUAAGUUGUGUGCAAGUGGUAGGAGAGCGUUCUAUUUGCGUCGAAGGUAUACCGGUAAGGAGUGCUGGAGCGAAUAGAAGUGAGCAUGCAGGCAUGAGUAGCGAUAAUUAAU